AUGCUUAGGGCUGUUUUGAAGAAUAAUAAGAAAAUGUGGGAGGAAUGCUUGCCUCAUAUUGAAUUUGCUUAUAAUCGUUCAUUGCAUUCUACUACUAAGAUGUGCCCUUUUGAAGUUGUGUAUGGUUUCCUACCUCGUGCACCUAUUGAUUUGUUGCCUCUUCCAUCUUCGGAGAAGGUUAAUUUUGAUGCUAAACAACGUGCUGAAUUGAUUUUAAAAAUGCAUGAGUUAACUAAGGAAAACAUUGAGCGUAUGAAUGCUAAAUAUAAACUUGCUGGAGAUAAGGGUAGAAAACAUGUUGUGUUUGCACCUGGAGAUCUUGUUUGGUUACAUUUGCGUAAGGAUAGAUUUCCUGAUUUGCGCAAAUCAAAGCUAAUGCCACGUGCUGAUGGUCCCUUUAAGGUGUUAGAGAAAAUAAAUGAUAAUGCAUAUAAACUUGAGCUGCCUGCAGAUUUUGGGGUUAGUCCCACUUUUAACAUUGCAGAUUUGAAGCCUUAUUUGGGUGAGGAAGAUGAGUUUCCGUCGAGGACGACUUCAUUUCAAGAAGGGGAGGAUGAUGAGGACAUCAAUACCAUUGUUACACCCACAGCCCCUGCUGCUAUACAUACUGGACCAAUUACUAGAGCUCGCGCACGCCAACUAAAUUACCAGGUACUUUCGUUUCUUGGUAAUGAUUCUAAUGUUCAUGAGAAUAUGAUGCUGCCUAAAUUGGAUACAUUUGUUUUGCUUACAAAUGAAGGGCCUAGCUUGGAGAAGGAUGAACAUUGGAGCAAGAACAAGCAUGGAGAUGAUGGCAUGCGCAAGGGGAACAAGAACGGAGUUACAAGUGAUGAUUUCAGGACUUUGAAGCCACCAUAA
Molecule: ribosomal RNA, 858 nt
Filed under: Triticum aestivum (bread wheat)
Lineage: Eukaryota; Viridiplantae; Streptophyta; Magnoliopsida; Poales; Poaceae
Description: partial small subunit ribosomal RNA
Source: RNAcentral